This 3000-nucleotide long non-coding RNA is filed under the name Coturnix japonica (Japanese quail). RNAcentral describes it as "lncRNA (ENSCJPG00005001831.1)". The record is from RNAcentral. Lineage: Eukaryota; Metazoa; Chordata; Aves; Galliformes; Phasianidae.
GCCCCUCAGUCCUCCAGCAGAUUACCCAGCGUCCCUCGGGGCUUGGCCCAGCUCUGUUCCAUUGCGCUGCGGCUCCGAAUGAAACCAAUUCCAAAUUGAGUCCUGUGGUUAAGAUGCGGCCUGGGGGGUCCCGCAAGCAGCGCCUCCGCCGUUGGGGCGGCUAUGGGGGAGCCAAAUGGGGGCAAAUUAACCCCAUAGACGCCAUAGGAAGAGGGAUUUUAAGGGUUUUAUGGGCGUUUUAAGGGGUAUAAUGGGAUCUCUAUGGUUUAUUGUUGGAGGACUGGGGGUAUAAUGGGAUCUCUAUGGUUUAUUGUUGGAGGACUGGGGGUUAUAAUGGGAUCUCUAUGGUUUCUUGGAGGACUGGGGUUAUAAUGGGGGUGGGGGGGAUCAUAGAGACGAUGGAGGACUGCGUUGGAGGACUUGGGACCAUAGAGAUGCUGGAGGACUGGAGGGACUCUGGAGGACUUGUGACCAUAGAGAUGUUGGAGGACUGCGUUGGAGGACCUGAGACCAUAGAGAUGCUGGAGGACUGAAUCCUAGAGCGUCUUUUCUGCCUGUCUGUGCUGUUCUGUCCCAACCAUAGAGUUUAUAUUUAUAAUGAAGGUUUUUUAUACCAAAAUAAACCAUUUUGGGCCGGUUUUUACCCAUUUCAAGGCCUCAUUUCGUUCACAAAAGCCUCCAAAGCGCUGAUUGGGCGCAAAAAACAGCGCCAAACCAUUUUCCUUCACCCAUUGGUCGCCUCACCCGUCAAUCACUCUGAACCCCCUUCCUAUUGGCUGAGCAGCGCGGCGAGCCCACCUUCCUUUCCCAUUGGUCGGCUCGCCUGUCCGUCACUCUCCGCCCCUAUUUCUAUUGGCUGAGAGGACGCGCCCGCCUUUUCCGGAGUCUUUGCGGCAAGAUGGCGGCGCCCGUGUGGGCGCGGGGGCUGCGCUGCGCCAUGACGGGACAAUGGAGGAUGAAGGCUGGAGCCCGGUUCAGGCCCAGAUGUUGGGGACACAGUUUUGGGGUCAGCGCCCCCCAGAGCAGGAACCAGGACCUAAAAUCAGGUACUUAUGGGGUGAUAUGGGGUCUCUAUGGGUCUCUAUGGGUCCCUAUGGGGUUGUUAUGGGUCCCUAUGGGUCACUAUGGGUCCCUAUGGGGUCUUUAUGGGUUCUUUGGGGUCUCUAUGGGUCCCUAUGGGGUUCUUAUGGGGUCCUAUGGGGUCUCUAUGGGUCCCUGUGGGGUCAUUAUGGGUCUCUAUGGGUCUCUGUGGGUCCCUAUGGGGUCUCUAUGGGUCCCUAUGGGGUUCUUAUGGGGUCCUAUGGGUUUCUAUGGGUCCUAUGGGGUCCCUAUGGGGUCUCUAUGGGUCUCUGUGGGUCCCUAUUGGGUUCUUAUGGGUCCCUAUGGGGUCUCUAUGGGUCCUAUGGGUCACUAUGGGUCCCUAUGGGGUCUUUAUGGGUUCUUUGGGGUCUCUAUGGGUCUCUGUGGGUCUCUAUGGGGUUUCUAUGGGUCACUAUGGGUCCCUAUGGGUCCUAUGGGGUCUCUAUGGGUUUCUAUGGGGUCUCUAUGGGUCCUGUGGGGUCUCUAUGGGUCUUAUGGGUCUCUAUGGGUUCGCUAUGUGUCCCUAUGGGGUCUCUAUGGGUCCUAUGGGGUCUCUAUGGGUCACAAUGGGUCCCUAUAGGGUUGUUAUGGGUCCCUAUGGGUCCUGUGGGUUUCUAUGGGGUCCCUAUGGGGUCUCUAUGGGGUCAUUAUUGGUCUUAUGGGGUCUCUGUGGGGGGAUAUGGGGAUCUAUGGGUCUCUAUGGGGUUCUUAUGGGGUCCUAUGGGUUUCUAUGGGUCCUAUGGGGUCACUAUGGGUCUCUAUGGAUCCUAUGGGGUCCCUAUGGGUCUUAAUGGGUUCGCUAUGGGUCCCUAUGGGGUCUUUAUGGAUCCUAUGGGGUCCCUAUGUGUCUCUAUGGGGUGCUAUGGGGUCAGUAUGGGUCUCUAUGGGGUCUCUAUGGGUCCUAUGGGUUUCUACGGGGUCCCUAUGGGGUCUUUAUGGGUCCUAUGGGGUCCCUAUGGGGUCAUUAUGGGUCUUAUGGGGCCGCUAUGGGGUCAGUAUGGGUCUCUGUGGGUCCUAUGGGGUCUCUAUGGGUCCCUAUGGGGUCUCUAUGGGUCCCUAUGGGGUCUCUAUGGGUCCCUAUGGGGUUGUUAUGGGUCUCUAUGGGUCCCUAUGGGGUUCUUAUGGGGUCCUAUGGGGUCUCUAUGGGGUCUCUAUGGGUCCCUAUUGGGUUCUUAUGGGUCUUAUGGGUCUCUAUGGGGUCACUAUGGGUCCCUAUGGGUCCCUAUGAGGUUCUUAUGGGUCCCUAUGGGUCACUAUGGGGUCUCUAUGGGUCUUAUGGGGUCUUUGUGGGUCUCUAUGGGGUCCCUAUGGGUCCCUAUUGGGUUCUUAUGGGUCCCUAUGGGGUCUCUAUGGGUCCCUAUGGGGUCUCUAUGGGUCUCUAUGGGGUCAAUAUGGGUCUCUAUGGGUCCCUAUGGGGUUGUUAUGGGCCCUAUGGGGUCAUUAUGGGUCUCUAUGGGUCUCUAUGGGUCCCUAUGGGGUUGUUAUGGGUCUCUAUGGGUCCCUAUGGGUCGUAUGGGUCUUAUGGGUCUCUAUGGGGUCUCUAUGGGUCCUAUGGGGUUGUAUGGGUCCCUAUGGGUCUCUAUGGGUCCCUAUGGGGUCUCUAUGGGGUCAUUAUUGGUCUUAUNGGUCUCCCUGCCCCACACUUUAGGCUGGAGCCCGGUUCAGGCCCAGAUGUUGGGGACACAGUUUUGGGGUCAGCGCCCCCCAGAGCAGGAACCAGGACCUAAAAUCAGGUUCACAGCGGAGCUGGCUCGUGCCUACCUGGCUGUGAGGCUCAGGAGGGACCACGCGGCUGUGGGGCGGGCACUGCAAGAGGGCGGCCCACGAGUUAUGGGGCGGCAGCGUGCGGCACUACGUGUGUGUGGGGCCAUCCAGGGCCAUGAGGGACAUGGGGGAGAGACUGAGACACGGUGAGGGGGU